CCGCGUGUGUGAAGAAGGUUUUCGGAUCGUAAAGCACUGUUGUUAGAGAAGAACGGCUACUAGAGGAAAUGUUAGUAGAUUGACGGUAUCUAACCAGAAAGCCACGGCUAACUACGUGCCAGCAGCCGCGGUAAUACGUAGGUGGCAAGCGUUGUCCGGAUUUAUUGGGCGUAAAGGGAGCGCAGGUGGUUUCUUAAGUCUGAUGUGAAAGCCCACGGCUUAACCGUGGAGGGUCAUUGGAAACUGGGGAACUUGAGUGCAGAAGAGGAAAGCGGAAUUCCAUGU
This 285-nucleotide ribosomal RNA is filed under the name uncultured Lactobacillales bacterium. Its description in RNAcentral is "partial 16S ribosomal RNA". It matches the Rfam family "Bacterial small subunit ribosomal RNA", at positions 397 to 674 of the family's 1533-position model. The record is from RNAcentral. Lineage: Bacteria; Bacillati; Bacillota; Bacilli; Lactobacillales.